AUUGAACGCUGGCGGCAGGCCUAACACAUGCAAGUCGAGCGGAUGAGGGGAGCUUGCUCCUGGAUUCAGCGGCGGACGGGUGAGUAAUGCCUAGGAAUCUGCCUGGUAGUGGGGGAUAACGUCCGGAAACGGGCGCUAAUACCGCAUACGUCCUGAGGGAGAAAGUGGGGGAUCUUCGGACCUCACGCUAUCAGAUGAGCCUAGGUCGGAUUAGCUAGUUGGUGGGGUAAAGGCCUACCAAGGCGACGAUCCGUAACUGGUCUGAGAGGAUGAUCAGUCACACUGGAACUGAGACACGGUCCAGACUCCUACGGGAGGCAGCAGUGGGGAAUAUUGGACAAUGGGCGAAAGCCUGAUCCAGCCAUGCCGCGUGUGUGAAGAAGGUCUUCGGAUUGUAAAGCACUUUAAGUUGGGAGGAAGGGCAGUAAGUCAAUACCUUGCUGUUUUGACGUUACCAACAGAAUAAGCACCGGCUAACUUCGUG
Molecule: ribosomal RNA, 484 nt
Filed under: uncultured bacterium
Lineage: Bacteria
Description: partial 16S ribosomal RNA
Rfam family: Bacterial small subunit ribosomal RNA
Source: RNAcentral